RNAcentral lists this ribosomal RNA (383 nucleotides) under Teleaulax sp. Its description in RNAcentral is "partial small subunit ribosomal RNA". It matches the Rfam family "Eukaryotic small subunit ribosomal RNA", at positions 582 to 975 of the family's 1831-position model. Lineage: Eukaryota; Cryptophyceae; Pyrenomonadales; Geminigeraceae. The record is from RNAcentral.
AUUCCAGCUCUAAUAGCGUAUAUUAAAGUUGUUGCAGUUAAAAAGCUCGUAGUCGGAUGUCGGGCUCGGGCAAGCUGUCGGCCUUUGGUCGGACGGCAGGCUCGGGUCUUUCUGCCUGAGGAACCCGGUUGCUUUAACGAGCUGCCGGUGGACGCAGGUCGUUUACUUUGAAAAAAUUAGAGUGUUCAAAGCAGGCUAGCGCUUGAAUACAUUAGCAUGGAAUAAUGGAAUAGGACUUUGGUGCUAUUUUGUUGGUUUAUGGGACUGCAGUAAUGAUUAAUAGGGAUAGUUGGGGGCAUUAGUAUUUAAUUGUCAGAGGUGGAAUUCUCAGAUUUGUUAAAGACUAACUUAUGCGAAAGCAUUUGCCAAGGAUGUUUUCAUUG